Molecule: ribosomal RNA, 375 nt
Filed under: uncultured Glomeromycotina
Lineage: Eukaryota; Fungi; Glomeromycota
Description: LSU rRNA
Source: RNAcentral
UUGAAAGGGAAACGAUUGAAGUCAGUCGUACCAGCGGGAAAUCAACCUUUCGAGUGGGGGUUUUGGAGUUUUGAAGAGUGUCAAAACCUUUGAGAUUUCAAAAAUUUCGCUCUUUUGGUGUACUUUCUCGUGGGUAGGUUAACAUCGAUUUUGAUCAUCAUAAAAAGAUUGGAGGAAUGUAGCUUCGAUCUUGUAUUGAAGUGUUAUAGCCUUUGGUAAAUGUGAUGAUUGGGAUCGAGGAUUGCAACGAAUACCCUUUUGGGCUAUCCGCCUGAUCUCUGAUACGUGGCCUUGGUAUCGAAAGCUUGCUUAUGGUAUUGAGGUAUUACGGUCAAAAGGUUAGAACGGAUUACAUUCGUUAAGGAUGUUGACGUA